CUGACGUCAUUCACGGCUUCCAAUCUCCCGGAAUUUUUCUCGAUCCCAAUAAACCUCGUCACUCCGUGCUGAGGCUGAGCCUGACAUCAGCCCUAUUAAUAAAUCUGUUCUCACCCGGCAGGCGGGAGCGGAGCCGGGGGAAGCGUUUCGACAACGGAGCCUUUCCAAGAGCCAAACAACAUUCCUGGUUUUUCAUAGGACACUGAGGAAUCCAGGGAUGAACGGCGGGGAUUGGGAGGAAGAGAAGGCAUUCGGAUGGAGAUAAAUCUCCUCCAGCGCCCUGGGAUGAGCAUUGAUCCAGUCUCCAAGAGCUCCAAAGGAAAAGGGAGCAAAACCAGGAAUCAACCCUUAGUUCCAGCUUGGAUUCCAAGGCGAAAUAUCUCAGGAAUAGGAAAAUUGUCAAGGUCACGCAGAGGUUGCUGCUGCAUAAAAAUCCCACAGAAUUA
Molecule: long non-coding RNA, 446 nt
Organism: Parus major (Great Tit)
Lineage: Eukaryota; Metazoa; Chordata; Aves; Passeriformes; Paridae
Exons: 2
Source: RefSeq, a predicted model, not a curated record